AACGAACGCUGGCGGCAUGCCUAACACAUGCAAGUCGAACGAAGGCUUCGGCCUUAGUGGCGCACGGGUGCGUAACGCGUGGGAAUCUGCCCUUUGGUUCGGAAUAACAGCUGGAAACGGCUGCUAAUACCGGAUGAUGACGAAAGUCCAAAGAUUUAUCGCCAGAGGAUGAGCCCGCGUUGGAUUAGGUAGUUGGUGGGGUAAAGGCCUACCAAGCCGACGAUCCAUAGCUGGUCUGAGAGGAUGAUCAGCCACACUGGGACUGAGACACGGCCCAGACUCCUACGGAAGGCGGGAGUGGGGAAUAUUGGAAAAUGGGCGCAAGCCUGAUCCAGCAAGGCCGCGUGAGUGAUGAAGGCCGUAGGGUUGUAAAGCUCUUUUACCCGGGAAGAUAAUGACGGUACCGGGAGAAUAAGCCCCGGCUAACUCCGUG
RNAcentral lists this ribosomal RNA (433 nucleotides) under uncultured bacterium. RNAcentral's name for it is "partial 16S ribosomal RNA". It matches the Rfam family "Bacterial small subunit ribosomal RNA", at positions 29 to 507 of the family's 1533-position model. The record is from RNAcentral.